RNAcentral lists this unclassified non-coding RNA (378 nucleotides) under uncultured Alphaproteobacteria bacterium. RNAcentral describes it as "contains 16S-23S intergenic spacer region". The record is from RNAcentral. Lineage: Bacteria; Pseudomonadati; Pseudomonadota; Alphaproteobacteria.
UCCUGCUUGUCACAGGCAGUUUCCCUAGAGUGCCCACCAUAAUGUGCUGGCAACUAAGGAUGAGGGUUGCGCUCGUUGCGGGACUUAACCCAACAUCUCACGACACGAGCUGACGACAGCCAUGCAACACCUGUCUCUACGCCCCUUGCGGGGAGGAAUCCAUCUCUGGAAACCGUCGUAGGAUGUCAAGGGUAGGUAAGGUUUUUCGCGUAGCAUCGAAUUAAACCACAUGCUCCACCGCUUGUGCGGGUCCCCGUCAAUUCCUUUGAGUUUUAAUCUUGCGACCGUACUCCCCAGGCGGGAUACUUAACGCGUUAGCUACGACACUGAGGGGUAACCCCCCAACGUCUAGUAUCCAUCGUUUACAGCGUGGACUAC